AAUAAAGUUGUGUGGCCACCGCUGAGUCCUCCGUCGCACCGAUCCGCCCAAGCCUAGGGAUUACCUAUACAAAUAAAUCAAAAGGGUGAGUUUACGAAAACUUAGUGUGUAAUCCCCAUAUAAAGCAAGCAGACAAAAUGCAGUCACAGUUUGGGCUUAAGCCCUUUCAGUACAAGAUUCAGUUUCAGUUAGGGCCUUAGCCCAAUUUAGUACAAAAGCAGUUAUGCAUUAGGGCAUUGGGCCAUUACAUAACAAUAAUUAGUACAGUAAUAGAAAUACUGUCACAAAAUCCUACCCAGACAGCCUCUACACACCAUCUCCGUCCAACCCUACACUCCAUGUGAGGAUAUAAUCAACCCACCCAUCACUACACUCUAAAAAGUAUUGAAUGUGGCACUAAACAGUGGUUUGAAGCUGAGCUGUCAGUAAAUUAGGCCCGAGGCCUUUCAGUUUACUUCCUCCGAACAAUACCAACCCCCAACCCAAUGCAAUUCAAUAUACAAAUAUGACAUGCUAUACAUAAUAUCAUGCAUGUAAACCAGCAUACAGUAUCAAAUUAUUGGGACAUCAUCAUGCUUAAUCAUAUAAGUCAUACAGUCAUUUCAGUCAAUUAGGGGUCUAGGUAAGCUUACCGACCCUAUAGUAGGUCAAUAGUUGUCUUGGGAUACCCGUGCAAUCUUAACAAUUAAACAGUAAAAAUGGGCCUACAAGCCCAUGAUGUUCGCUUGUGUGGCCAACAUGGCCCAAAUUGGCCUUGAUCGGGUAGCUCACAUGGCCUGGCCCAAAAAUCCCACACCCUUGUGUGAUUCACCCAUGUAGGCCCACACGCUUGUGUGACCCACAUGGCCCAAUUCGAUUCGGCUCAUGUAUCGCACAUAGCCAGCCUCGUCGAUCGCACACCGGUGUGGCAUCGAUAGCCUCACUUUAUGGCUUUUCAUUGAUUUCCAUUUAUGGUGUUGAGGUUACACACCUGUAACAUUUUUUACACAAAAGUAACUCCAAGCAAUCCCGAACCUAUAAUUGACCAAAAUACCACUCAGUUAAUCACUUAACCGAUGAAUUAAAACCAACCUGAACGGGUUACUCAACUAUUGACCGAUUGAAACUUACCCCCAACGCUUCAAAUUGAUUUGCUUAUGUAGUAGUACCAGAAGAGUUUCGAUCCUAGUGACAUAAUGCUACCCAAACAUCAGAAUAACUCCUAGUCAGAAACUUAACAUUCUCAACUACAAAUCACACAAAAUCACGUACUGAAGUUGUCCACGAAACACCAAAAUAGGGAACAAAAGUGCGAAUGCAGUCGAGAUGGAAGCAAAAUCGAAAGAAAAAAUAGGAAGAGAAGGGUAGAUUUCGACAAAAGAGAGAUGAAAAUCCUAAUGGAAAAAUCGGUAGAGUUUUUGGAGAGAAACAAACGUCACAAAGAUGAGUACUUACCGAUCGCAGUUAAUCGAGGAAUGAUACGAGACCAAGUAGAAAGAAGUUGAGGAGAAAUAGAAUGAGAGUGCAGAGUAAUUUCGGCAGUAAGGAAAAAUAAUGGACAAGGAAAACGGCAGCAAAAAGGAGAAGAGGAGAAGAGAAAACCAAAAAUUUUAUUUUUAGGGAAAAUAAAAGGGAAAAAAGAUAUGAACAAAAUUAUUCGAUAAGAACCCUGAUAACCCCAAAAUCCCUUAAUUCAUCCCUAAAUUUUCUCCAUCAAACUUCCACUACCCAAUUGGGAUAAUUUGAAACUCAUCCAUCCCUGAUUUUUCUCCCCAAAUCACUCCAACAGCUCCCAAAAUCGUCCACCACUUCCUCUCAACUACCAAAUUUAAAUUCCACUCAAACACUUUAACAUUUCGGCUAAACCAAAACACCCACACGGCACAAGCAGUAAAAUAAAUCCCAUUUGCACAAAUAAGAGUUCGAACUUCAGACCUCCUGCUCGUUUGCUCUCCACUUAACCACCAGACCAGCAUGCCCAUUCUGACAUAUUUUACCAACAUUUAAUUAUAAGCCUACUGACUAGUGAUAAGGCUUUGUUCAGAAAAAUACAAAAAUUUUCCCAAGGCAGGGCUUGAACUUAAGACCUCACACACAUACCAAAGCACUUAACCACUAAAACAGAUACACAGUUGUGUCAUAAAUACACGUAAACAAAUAUACAAACUUUGAGGCGUUACAAUAAUCAUACCUAAGAUAAAAGAAUAUUGCUUCAUACAAAUCCAUGGAGGCAAAUUGUAAGGAACAAGUACUACAGGCUAAGUACUGUACGAAGUACUCAUGAUUUUAAAAUGAUUAAAUUCAUUAUAUGCUAGCCCAAGCCUCACAUUCCGAGGAUCACUUGCAAAGCUUUGAAAUUUACUGUCAAAUGAUUUCCAAGCUAAAGAAUCCGCAGGAUGCCUUAAUAAUUCAUCACCGAUUCGUUGAUCAUGAUGCCACCUCAUAGACUCGGUUAUUUUUGACGACAUGAAAAGCCUUUGAAGUCUUGGUAUUAGUGGAAAAUAUCGCAAAAUCUUUACUGCCUUCUUUCUUGAUUAUGCCUCACCUUCAUCCUCAUUCACAUCUUCUGCAUUCCUAUUCAUCCAAUGAGAUAUACCGCAAACAUAAAAAGACUGUUGGUUUUUCCAAUCACCCCAACACAAUAUACAGUCAUUUGGGCAAAUAUGAAAUUUGUCAUACCCAAUGCCUAAAUCCUUUAUCAGUUUCUUCAUAUCUUUGCAUGAAUGAAGGAUUUUUGCAAACAGAAACAUAUCUCUCAAAAACUCUAACAGCCGCAUAAAAGAGUUUUUGGUCCACCCUCCCAAACAUUUUAAGUGAAAAAGACGAAUGCAGAAGGAUAGUUUUGAAAAUUUCAAUCCCUCAUAAAGUUCUUCAUUCAUUUCAUUAAGUAACUUAUAGAACUUCACCGCUUCUCCAUUUGGCUCUUCAUCAGGUGCACUUCUUCCUGUUUUGGUAAAAGCAUUUCCAUCAAUAUCACAAUAAUUGGAUGCAAUAAUUUCAGGUGGAAACGAUUGCAAACCAUGACUGUGCAUAUUAAAUACAUCCUGCAACAUACCUUCUAUGUCAUAUUCUCUAAUAGACUGAUGGUAAGCAUUAUGAGGAUAAACCAGAUUAAUCGUUUAAGAGGUUCUACUAGGUGUACACUCUCUAUGGAGAAUCCAUUUUUAUACCCUCGAAUAAAGCCAUCAACAAUUAGAUGUUCGUAGACAACUUCACGAAAAUGUCAAUUGAUGUUGCCAUACUUCUUACAUGGGCAAAGAAUCAUGUUCUCUUGGCUUGCAUUUUGAAAUGCAAAAUUUAGAAAAGUUUGUACUCUAUUUCGAUAGUCGUUGCUUACCCUUGACAAAUCCAUUCAACUCUUAUCCAUUUCGUAGUUCUUGAAGUCUAAAGUUGACAAUAAAUUAUGGUUACUUAAGUGUUCUAAAUAGGUUUAAAUCAUGUCAUUGUACUAAAAUAAAUAAUAUAAUAUCAAGUAUCUAAUUAUUUAAAAAAUAUAUAUUAGUGACAACAUUUUUUAUAUUCUCUAAAUGUUAGAAAUUACAUUUUUUUUAUGUUCUUUAAAUGUUUAUGUAAGUUAUGAUAAUCAUUAACUUUUAUUCUUAUUUUUCCUUUUAUUCAUUUACUAAAUUUUUUAAAUCUGGUUUGGAGAUGGUAUAAAUGGAACCAAGUUAUGUAAAAUCUUGCACAAACUAUUAUUUUAUCAUAACAACACUAUUUGAGCUUCCAUCAAUCAAUAUAUUGAUAAUAAUUUCUUUUGAAGUUAAAAACUUGUUGUCUGUUUUAUUUAUUUAGUUUUAAAUUUUUAAAAAAUGGAUUAAAUAUUGCAACCAUUUCUUAUGUUUAUGGCUUUAAAAAUUGGCCUCAACUUUUGCUUCGUUUUCAUCAUUGCCAAUACAUGAUAUUAAUAAAUAAAACUUAAAUUCAACUCUGAAAAAAAUACAUGCAGUUACUGUUCAUGUAACUAACAUGAUAUGGUUAACUGAAUAGAGUAGUGUAAAUUAAUUAAUUAUUCAUAAAAUAAAUUUAUUAUGUUAAAUUAAAAAAAUUAAAAUAAAAUAAAUAAAAAGUAAUUGAACAUUUAAAAUACAAAAAAGAAAUUUCAUGUCAUCUUCCACAUGUGGAUCAUACAUUGAUUAUUUUUAUCAUCUUAUAAAAAAUAAACCUUAUAGUAUAUUGAUGUAAUUUGUAUAAUGUUUGAUAAAUUUAAAUAUCAAAUUAGAAAAAAAAAUUAAGUACCAAAUUGAAAAAAUAUAAAAUUCAAUUAUUAAAAAAAGUAUAGAUUGACUAAAUGAACUCAUUUUUCAUUAAGUGAUAAGUCACCCAUCAUUAUGUACUUAUCUUUUCAAUAGCUUUUCAUUGGAAAAGGGUCUGUGAAAAAUAAUUAAACCAAAAAUUAAUCAUGGGGAACAGUUUCGUUAAUUUUUUAAAAGUUAAAAACUAUAUGAUUAUUAUGAAAUGUGAUAUAUGAUAUAUGAUUGUUUAAUUAAUUAAUUUUAUAUAUCAUAAAAUUAUUAUGAAAUAUGAUUAUUUAUUUAUUUAAUCAGAAAUUAAUUAAUUAUUCAUAAAAUUAUUUAAAUAUAAAACAUGUAUUUAGUUAGUAGAGAGAAAAACUAGAAUUUGGGAAUGCUUGGAUUGAGAUGGGGAAAAUAAUAUAUACAUUUUGGUAAGUUAAAAGGAAAAUGUAGGAGUGGUUAAUAACUAACCAAACCAAGUGAUGCCUAACUUUGGAUGGAAGUGUCCAACAGGAAAUCUUGGUCAAGGAGAAGCUAUUUAUGUACAUACAAUAAUAUUGUCAACUAUACUAAUAUUCUACUACUGGUAGCGAUAUUAAUUAAGAGGGUAGAACAAGUUGAAAGCAUAAAAAAUUAAAGAGACAGAGAGGCGAAGGUAACAUAGUCGCUAGUAAAAAACGAAAAGAAAGUAAGUAGUCAUAAAUAGGGGUGAGCAUUCGAUCGAAUAGAAUCGAAUCGAAAAUUUUCGAGUUAAUCAAGUUUUCGAAUCUCAUUUUAUCAUCCUAACUUUAUUUGAAGUUUUCUCGAAUCGAGUCGAGUGAGAUGAAAUUCGAAUCGAAUAUAUUUGUUCGAGUUAAAUUUUAAAAAAUAUUUUUGGGUCCUUGUAACCACUGUCACCCACCUUAAUCAAAAUUUUUAUUAACUUUCAUCACCUCAUAAUUUAUUUAUUAAUUUUUUAUAUAUUGGUUAGCUUCUUUGCUUGCUUAGUUGUUUCAAUUAUCUUCAGAUUCUUGUCACUAUGUAUUUUGGAAUUAAAAAAUAUAUUAAAUGUAAAAAUAUGAUUUUUUUAAUAAAAGUUAUUUUAAAAAUAAAAUGUGAAAUUGAUACCAAUAUAAAAUUUUAACACGAAUAUUUUAUGGCAUAAUUAAUAAUUCAAUUUUAAUAUAAAUAUCCAAUAUGACUAAACAAUUCAAUAAUAUAAAUAAUAUAAAUAAUAUAAAAUGUGAAAUUUAAUUUAAUAAUAUAAAUUGUAGAUAUAAAUAAAAUUAUUACUAUUUAUGUUUAGUGAAUUUUUUUUAGAUAAUUUUGAUUUUUUAUUUGAGGGUAAAGGGUGAGAAGUAAAAGUUUAGGGGGAAAAUAAAAAGUUUUGGAGAAUAAAAGUUUGAGGGAAAGUAAAUAGGAGAAGUAAAAUUUUGGAGGAAAAAUAUUAAAAAAAAAUUGGAGGAAAAAAUAAAUGGGAGAGUAAAAUUUUGGUGGGAAAUGGAUUUUGGGUAGAUUGGGGGGGGGUUGGGAGGGGAGUAAAAGUUUUGGGGGGAAAGUGGGAAGGAGUAAAAGUUUUGAGGGAAAAGUAAAAAGGUUUAGGAGUUUGGGGUAAAAAUGUAAAAUAUUAUAGUUUGAUAUUCAAAUUAUUCGAAUUAUUCGAGUUAUUCGAAUUUGAAAACUCAACUCGAUUCGAACUCGAUUUGAACUCGAAAUUCGAAAAAAAAUUCGAGUUGAUUCGAAUAACUCGAUUCGUUUAACUCGAAAUUCAAAUUUUUUUUCUGAUUUUUUCGAGUCGAAUCGAGUUUUGCUCACCCCUAGUCAUAAAGAAACUAACAGCACCAGAAAAAAAAAACUACUGCAAGAACUGUCUACCUGUGUUUCAGUAAUCGACUUCCUUACAAGUUUCAGUAUAAACUAAGAACUACAAAUAUCUUACUCUUGUUUCAAUAUAAACAAAGAAAAAAAUGAGAUUAAAACUACAUGAAAAUGACCAAAUUCACAUGCAUUCAAUAAACUAAUUAAUAUUGUAAAAUAGUUGAUUAGAUUUCUUAAGCAUCAUUUCAACUUUCAACCUUAUAAAACAGUGUUGAAAGAACUUGAAAAGAAAUCUGACCUAAUUCAAUUUCACAUAUAAUAAAAAAUUUUAAGAUAAAAAAAAAUCCAAUUAGCUGUGAACAUAUAAGAACUAAAUUCACAACUUAUACAGAAAUAAUAACAAAAUUUUAACCUACAAACAAUGAUUUCAUGCUCAAUUCACGGCUCUAAAAUAUGAACAAUUCUUCAAUGAAUACAACUGUAAAUUAUGCACAUAUAGACUACUAGGAACCCAAAAAUGUCGCUAAACCCCAGAUAUAGUCUAGGUGAAAAGGGACCGAGGCGUUGAAUAGUAAAGAAACUAGUAAGAACUCACAUGAUAAUGAGCUUGUUGUAACCAAAAUACAAAGAUUGGGGCAUAGUCAAGUUUCCAAUUUCUAUAGGCAUAAUUCCCUCCAAAGAGUUGUCAUGCAAUGAUAAAUACAUCUACUCUUUACACUUGAAUAAGCUAUUUGAAAUUCUAGUGAAAUUUGAUUAUGUGUCAAGCUUAAUAAUUGCAAUUUAGAAAUGUUAUCAAACAUCUUGAUAGUAGAUGGCCUGUAACGAGAUGACUAGUUUUGAAACUAUUUUUUAUUGGUGAAAAUAUAUUUAAGAUUUACACAUGUAAGGAACCUGAAUAAGAAUUCUUAUGAAAAUAAAAGCAAAUGAAAGCUUGAAAAGUUCCCAACUAUUAUAGGAAUUUGCCAUUCUAAAUCAUUGUCAUAUAAUAUCAACUGUUAUAAGAAAUGAUAUUAUACUUGUUAUGUUGUUAUUAGAAAGAUUUAUGAUCUCGAGAGUAGUCAAAUUGUUAAUAGCCGAAAGACUUUCACCUAAAAUAUAUAAUAAAAUUUGUCAAAAUAGCUUUAUGAUAGAACCCAUGCACUUUGUCUUUUUUUUUUGUAAUUAGAUAGAGAAGUCAUCUACUCUGUUCCUCUUAUAUUGAACUAAUGGCUGAAAACAAUUUUAGAUUGUUUUCUCACGAAUACUAACUUAUAUUUUUUACUUAUCUUUAGAUUGUGUUUAUUGUUAUUACCUUCUUCACUAAUACUCAUCAUCAUCAUGUUUCUUGUUAAGUCAAUCUCUAAGUUUUGAAAUAUAUAAAACAAUCAAUGGUGACCAUCAAUAUAUCACCCAAAAUCUCAAAAUCAUUACUUCGAUUAAUUCAAGCCGAGAACAAACAACAAAAUUUCAUAAACAAAACUCUCUGCCUUAACAAACAAAAUAACAAACAAAAUAUUUUAAUUAUUUUCUAAUAAAAUUUCCUAAUAAAAUUUCUGCCUGCCAUUUAUGCAGCAAAACCUAUUGAAACAAAACUUUGUUUUAAUCAUCAAUGGCCAACAAAUGCAACAAUAGAGUUCACAUUCUUUCCAAUGUAGAGAUAAAAAGCUAACAUCGGUCACAAAGUUCAACUAAAACAAAAUUAAUAAAACAACAAAAUAACUUAAAUAGAACCAUUCGUUUAUUUUUCUUUAUUUCCUUCUUGUUUACCAGCAACCAAGCACAGCACCAAUUAACAAACAAAAAAUGAAAAAUCAAAACAUAAAGCGAAAUUAAUCAAAUAAAAAAGGUGUGCAUGAGGGAGAGAAUAAUUGGUUACCAGCUAGGAAUGGAAGCAAUGCAGGUUGGAGAAAGCAAUGAAAACCUUGAAAACCUCGCCGAUCUAGAAAAACAUAUUGAUUACAGAAGAGAAGUAAGUUGAUGAAAAUCCUGAACGCCAGAAAAAAAAAGAAACAAACAAGAAUUAGCAAUUACCUCAAAUAGAGAACAAGGAACAAAUGAGAUGAUAUAUAUCUCAGUACCAAAAGCAAUCACCAAUCUUUAUCUUCUUCAACAAAAUAUCAAUUUUGCACAUAUAUCGGGGAGGGUGAACUAAUUUGGGGAAAAGAAAUUCGAAAAAAAGAGAAAGGGAUUUCGGAAAAAAUUAGGGAUUUCGCAGAGGGGGAAUUAAUUUGGGGAAAAGAAAUUGGGGAAAAAAGAAAGGGGUCUGGGAAAGAAACUUAGAGAUUUUGGGCAGAAGGGGAAUUGAUUGUGGGAAAAAAAUUGGGAAAAAAAAGAAAGGGGUUUGGGAAAAAAACUUAAGGAUUUCGGGGAGAGGGGGAAUUGAUU
RNAcentral lists this long non-coding RNA (8372 nucleotides) under Gossypium barbadense (sea-island cotton). RNAcentral describes it as "long non-coding RNA (GBAR_LNC017237)". The record is from RNAcentral. Lineage: Eukaryota; Viridiplantae; Streptophyta; Magnoliopsida; Malvales; Malvaceae.